UCAAAGUUGUUCAUAUUGAUAAUGUUUGCUGUCAUGCAAAUAAAUGUUUACUGUUGGCAUUGUACAAACAUGUUGGCAAGCAAAAGCUUCCUGACAAGGUGCAACAUGGGAUGUGAAAUUCUUGUUUGCUUGCAUGACCUGUGUACUGUCUGUGUCUUGUGAAUCACAUUCCUCGCCAAUGGAAUGCAAAUUGCAUGGUAAGGUACAUGAGAUAUGACAUGAGUUUGAGAUUCAUGAUGAGCAAAGUACCGUGAGGGCAAUGUGAAAAAUUUUGAAAAGAGAUUUAAAGAAAGCCUGCAAUUGCAUACUGUAAAAGCAAGUGAAUACAAAUUACAAAUGGAAUAGCUUUCUUGACAUGUCUUUGUGAUUUUUGUUGAAGCUUGCAUUUUUCAUGUCUGUUUGUAAAUGCAAAUAGCAGUGCAUGUUUGUGCUGCACACCUGUGUAGCAGAUCCAUGCUUGUAUGUGUGCAUUUAUGUCUUCUGUGCGCUCAACUCCAUUUUGCAUCAAUGGUGAAUCUCCCACCAAUGUUUCUAUGUGCAUUUGGACAGCGUAGUAG
This 557-nucleotide small RNA is filed under the name Ostreopsis sp. 1 AP-2016. RNAcentral's name for it is "eukaryotic LSU rRNA". It matches the Rfam family "Eukaryotic large subunit ribosomal RNA", at positions 99 to 638 of the family's 3401-position model. Lineage: Eukaryota; Dinophyceae; Peridiniales; Ostreopsidaceae. The record is from RNAcentral.